GCUUUCACAUGCAAGUCGUACGAGAGUUUUUAAUUCAAGUGGCGGACGGGUGAGUAACACGUAAGAAUUUGCCUCUAGGAGGGGACAACAACUGGAAACGGUUGCUAAUACCCCAUAUGCUUCCGAGUGAAAUGGAAUUUUCCGCCUAGAGAGAAGCUUGCGGCUGAUUAGCUUGUUGGUAAGGUAAUGGCUUACCAAGGCGACGAUCAGUAUCUGGUUUGAGAGGACGAUCAGACACACUGGAACUGAGACACGGUCCAGACUCCUACGGGAGGCAGCAGUGGGGAAUUUUCCGCAAUGGGCGAAAGCCUGACGGAGCAAUACCGCGUGAGGGAUGACGGCCUAUGGGUUGUAAACCUCUUUUUUCAGGGAGGAAUAAAAUGACGUGUACCUGAAGAAUAAGCAUCGGCUAACUCCGUGCCAGCAGCCGCGGUAAGACGGAGGAUGCAAGUGUUAUCCGGAAUCACUGGGCGUAAAGCGUCUGUAGGUGGUUUGAUAAGUCAACUGCUAAAUCUUGAGGCUCAACCUCAAAAUCGCAGUCGAAACUAUUAGACUAGAGUAUAGUAGGGGUAAAGGGAAUUUCCAGUGGAGCGGUGAAAUGCGUAGAGAUUGGAAAGAACACCGAUGGCGAAGGCACUUUACUGGGCUAUUACUGACACUCAGAGACGAAAGCUAGGGUAGCAAAUGGGAUUAGAUACCCCAGUAGUCCUAGCCGUAAACAAUGGAUACUAGAUGUUGAACAGAUCGACCUGUGCAGUAUUAAA
This 764-nucleotide ribosomal RNA is filed under the name uncultured eukaryote. Its description in RNAcentral is "bacterial SSU rRNA". It matches the Rfam family "Bacterial small subunit ribosomal RNA", at positions 46 to 850 of the family's 1533-position model. The record is from RNAcentral.